This 348-nucleotide ribosomal RNA is filed under the name Oniscidea sp. JXAUM-L14114. Its description in RNAcentral is "partial 12S ribosomal RNA". The record is from RNAcentral. Lineage: Eukaryota; Metazoa; Arthropoda; Malacostraca; Isopoda.
GGGCGAUAUGUGCACAUCUGAGAGCCUGUUCACCCUCUUGUGUUUAAGAAGGUUACGAUCAAAUCCUAUUUCACGGAGGGAUUCUCACUACACUUCACUUGUACUCUAAUUGUAACCUACUUAGACCCUAAGAUACCACACCAAAUCGAACAUAACUGUUACCCUGAAAAAUAUACUUCUCUUAGAGGUAUUCGGAUGACGGUAUAUGAGCUUAUUAGGGUAAGAUAUAACGUGUCAAUACGAUUCCAAAGCGGGUUCCUCUGAGGGGGUCAGAUGCCGCCAAGUCCUCUGGGUUUUAAGAAGAUAGCGUAUACUACCCCACCUACGAGGACUCAAAAAGAAGGUGGU